Molecule: non-coding RNA, 24 nt
Filed under: Arabidopsis thaliana (thale cress)
Lineage: Eukaryota; Viridiplantae; Streptophyta; Magnoliopsida; Brassicales; Brassicaceae
Source: RNAcentral
CGCAUCCACUCCGUUUAAACCAGC